This is a small nucleolar RNA of Lotus japonicus, 122 nucleotides long. The record is from RefSeq and is a predicted model, not a curated record. NCBI's taxonomy places the organism in Eukaryota, Viridiplantae, Streptophyta, Magnoliopsida, Fabales, Fabaceae.
UGGUAUCUGAUACCUAAAUAUCUGAAUUCCUUACAAUUUGUUCUCCAGAUAUCAAUGAUCAGAAGUUUAAUGCUUGCAUUGCUUUUUGUUGGCAUUGCAAGUUUGGCUCUUGUGUUACAUAC